GUUCUUUCACAUUCUCAUCUGCUUUAAAUUUGAUCUCUAGAGUCAUCGCAAAAUUUUCUUUCAUGAUGUAUUUCCUGAUCCAAAUUUUUGGAUGCAUUAGCAGAAGUAAAAGAAGCUGGACAAACAACUGCAGUAAUCUCCUCUGGAGGUUCAUGUCCAGCAUCAACAUCCUUAGGUAGCGCCUAACGAGCAUCUGGAAGUAGACGACCCAACCGACGGACAGAAACAUGGCUGAGAGUUUCAAAAUUCUCGGUAAUUCCAUACCCAUCUGCCUCUAGCUUUUCCAAUAUCACCUCAAUACUCUCUUUACCCUGCACCACCGGAAAAUAAACACACCUCAGGUGAGCAUGUGCUUUGGAGGAGGAUUUUGUUCCUGAACAAACUUUCAAUCACUGCUAUCCUUUACGUGAAAGCUAAGUUGCAUUACAAACUCUGGACCAUUGCAGGACAGUAACCUCUCCACCUUCAAUUUCCGCUAAAUUAGUGUCAUUGACCUGAAAUUCAAUAGGCAUCACAGUUUUUCCUGUUUUUGAUACUUCAUCACACUUUAAGUAUGGAGAUUUGAUUUUCCUCCUAUGCCUCUGUCUCUCGAUGAUCUAUGAAUGGAAGCUCCCAUUUUUCCCUCUUAAGAUAUAUUUAUCGGAUUUGCAGCCAAUACA
This 659-nucleotide unclassified non-coding RNA is filed under the name Hevea brasiliensis (rubber tree). Lineage: Eukaryota; Viridiplantae; Streptophyta; Magnoliopsida; Malpighiales; Euphorbiaceae. The record is from RNAcentral.